RNAcentral lists this transfer RNA (74 nucleotides) under Amphiprion percula (orange clownfish). RNAcentral describes it as "tRNA-Leu". It matches the Rfam family "tRNA". From Rfam's summary of the family: Transfer RNA (tRNA) molecules are approximately 80 nucleotides in length. Their secondary structure includes four short double-helical elements and three loops (D, anti-codon, and T loops). The record is from RNAcentral. Lineage: Eukaryota; Metazoa; Chordata; Actinopteri; Pomacentridae.
GUCAAGGUGGCAGAGCCCGGCCAUUGCAAAAGACCUAAGCCCUUUACACAGAGGUUCAAAUCCUCUCCUCGACU